This 932-nucleotide ribosomal RNA is filed under the name Enterobacter sp. RNAcentral describes it as "bacterial SSU rRNA". It matches the Rfam family "Bacterial small subunit ribosomal RNA", at positions 523 to 1454 of the family's 1533-position model. Lineage: Bacteria; Pseudomonadati; Pseudomonadota; Gammaproteobacteria; Enterobacterales; Enterobacteriaceae. The record is from RNAcentral.
AUAGGGCGGGUGCUAGCUUGAAUUGUAAUAACUAAAAGUAAAGCCCACGCCGUCGGUCAGUCAAGUAGGAAAUGAACUGGCCUGGACUCAGCGAGGGAACUUCAUACGAAACUGGCAGGCUUGUGUUUUGUAGAGGGGGGUAGACUUGCAGGAGCAGCGAUGAAAUGCGUAUUGAUUUGGAGGAAUACCGGCGGAGAAGGCGGCCCCGUCGACAAAGACCGAUGUUCAGGUGAGAAAGCGUGGGCAGCCAACAGGAUUAGAUACCGUGGUAGUCCACGCCGUAAACGAUGUCGAUUUGGAGGUUGCGCCCUUGAGGCGUGGCUUCCGGAGCUAACGCGUUAAAUCGACCGCCUGGGGAGUACGGCCGCAAGGUUAAAACUCAAAUGAAUUGACGGGGGCCCGCACAAGCGGUGGAGCAUGUGGUUUAAUUCGAUGCAACGCGAAGAACCUUACCUGGUCUUGACAUCCACAGAACUUAGCAGAGAUGGUUUGGUGCCUUCGGGAACUGUGAGACAGGUGCUGCAUGGCUGUCGUCAGCUCGUGUUGUGAAAUGUUGGGUUAAGUCCCGCAACGAGCGCAACCCUUAUCCUUUGUUGCCAGCGGUUCGGCCGGGAACUCAAAGGAGACUGCCAGUGAUAAACUGGAGGAAGGUGGGGAUGACGUCAAGUCAUCAUGGCCCUUACGACCAGGGCUACACACGUGCUACAAUGGCGCAUACAAAGAGAAGCGACCUCGCGAGAGCAAGCGGACCUCAUAAAGUGCGUCGUAGUCCGGAUUGGAGUCUGCAACUCGACUCCAUGAAGUCGGAAUCGCUAGUAAUCGUAGAUCAGAAUGCUACGGUGAAUACGUUCCCGGGCCUUGUACACACCGCCCGUCACACCAUGGGAGUGGGUUGCAAAAGAAGUAGGUAGCUUAACCUUCGGGAGGGCGCU